This is a long non-coding RNA of Lytechinus pictus (painted urchin), 7602 nucleotides long. RefSeq lists it as uncharacterized. Lineage: Eukaryota; Metazoa; Echinodermata; Echinoidea; Temnopleuroida; Toxopneustidae. The record is from RefSeq and is a predicted model, not a curated record. The transcript has 3 exons.
GGCCACGGUCAUUCAACAGUAGGAGAGAGAGAGAGAGAGGUUGUGCGUACCCAGUCGCACUCGCACGCACUCAAAUGAAUGGUCAAUAACAAUACUUCCGGGCAGUUUGUUCAUGUUCGCCGUGCGCGAUUUCGAAAUUAUCGCCUCGAUGACCUAGCUAGAUGACCGCAGAAUGGUUAUAAAUAUGGACAUUCGUGCGAGCAACGAGUCAGACAAUCUACCUCACACGCUGGGAUACAAACGCUCUUGACCGUGCGCUUGACCAUUCACCAGCCAGCCGGGCGCUUGACCAUUCUGUUUCAGUGGUCAGCUGCCCGGCCAGUCGGCUUGGUUGGAGUACGGCCGAUGGAGGGGUCACUGUAUGCCCGGUGCUUGGACUUCUUCGCGGAAAAAAAAUGUUAUUGUCUCCUGCAGAUCCGCAAACGAUUCUCAUGCAGUCUUCCAUAUCUCGAUCUUCCAGAAGUGAACAAUCGUAAAUGUCUUUCCGCCAAAUAACAUGGAUUGAUACCGCAUCAACUAGAUUCAAACCGCAGACAUUUCUUCCGUGUAAACAUGACUUUGUUCAGCCAGUGUGGUCGCUUAUGUGGUGAUGUACGUUGUUCAUCUAUGGUACGACUCUGCCAUGGGAAGGAGGAUGACAUCAUUUUGGCCACCACCAAAUUCUUUGUGGACCCUUGUCCCAUGCACCUCCUGAAACCGAUGCGCCUCCACAGUUCUGUAAUUCAGGAUAUCUGAAGUCAAAGCCAGGGGCUUUAGGCUCAUCGUCAACGACAUCCUAACAGGACGAUCUCCCUCGACUGCUGGGCCGGGUUAGCUACACGACAUUGUUCCGUCAUCAGUCCAAUGACGAAAUGUUCGUUGAAGGGCGUGUAGAAGGUCGGUGACGAAGGGUUCUUUGAACAAAAGGAUGACCAAAUUGGUUGACAUUCACGGAGGCAACAUGACCAAGCAACUUCGACAGAAGGUGGGACACCAGCUUCGUAAAUCGUUGCGUCGGCCAUCGCCUCACUACCAAGAUGUCGCCAUGCCCCGAUGUCAUCCUCCGUAGCAUCGCCGAAGUGGUCUAGAAUAUCACACCACGUGUGGUGAUAUUCGUCGAGCCAUGAAUUCCUCGUCAGCUGUGUAUGCGCUCUGCCAAAGGUGCUUGUACGCCAGGGUACUGCUACAUAAGGCAAGCAUCCCGAAACCUCAGUCAGCUUAUACACCAUCCCCAAGUCCGUUCCUGGAGGAGCUCAUACCCGCUUCGGGAAAAUGCUGCUGUGUCGUGCGAUUUUUUUUUCAGGUGAGGCCCAGUCAUGCGGUUAUUUUAAGGCGUCAGGAAGAACAGAUGCCUUUUCUACUUUUGCGGUUCAAUGAUAUUUGGCGGGAAAGGAUAAGGAGAUGUAACACUUCGGAGGUCAGCUGCGGUAACGACGUGAGUUUUACAGUGCUUUCUAUCUAGACUGAUUAGCUACGACCCUUUCACCCUGUGGAUUGGAUCACCAUCGGAAGGUCUUCUGCCUUGAAAGAUGUCGGAUCAGAUUCCACUGGAAGAAGAAGGUUGUCGAAGUUUAAUGCUGUCUGGAGAGAAGUCUGUUGUCCGCGUUGGAGUCCACCUUUGUAGUUUAGUUGUUUUCCUCUGUCCUCUAUAUUUUUAUCUCUCUCUCUCUCUCUCGCUCUCCCUCUCUGUAUAUCUCCAUCACACUCUCUACCCCAUCACACUGUCUUGACUCUUUAGUAAUCACAUUAUACACUCCCUUCUCUGCACGUAGUUUAUUAGAAUAUUUCUGACAAUUUAUCUUUAUAACCAAUUAAAAAAGCAGCUUUGUAAUUAAUGAUUAAACUAUAAGCUAUUAAAUAAUGGACUUACAUCUAUUGUGACGUUGUGUUUCCUCUAUAAGAGGUUUGUAUUCGCAGUUUUAGUAAAAUUGUUAAGUGAUAUUUGUAUUUCCUUUUAAAAUCUUUUCUAUAAACUGUUUCUAAAACGUGCAUGGAUGUCAUGCCUCCCAGUCCCAGCUAUGGUCACAGUUACGUGAAAAGUAUUGCCAAAACUAUUUAACUGAUGUUGUUUUCUUUGUAAAGGAAUCAUUGUUAAAUAUUUUACUAUAGAAAUUUCUUUGAAGUAGUUGUUAGUGUUGACAUGGUUUUUGAGACAGGCGGUUGCUCCUGUGUCAGCUUCUCGACCCCAUCAACCACUAGUAUUAUGUUUGAGUUCAUAUUUUGCAUGAAAACCUAAAUAUUGAUCUUUGUAAAUUCGCAUUAACUCCUAAGUAAGGUACCGUAAUCAUCCAGUGCAGAUAGAACUGUGCACAGCAUCCACCUUUUUUAUAGUUUCUUUUUUACCUUCGAAGUGCUCGUAUCUCUUGCUCGCUUUUCUUUUCUUUCUUUUCCUUCUUUCUUACAGGGUUUUCGUAGAUGAUUUUAUCUAUGAAUACCUCGCAGCCAAUUGAAAUGCAAAAGGACAUCUCAGGUAUACAUUCUUAAUGUAGAAACGGCUCUGACAAGUCCAAAUAUGGCGCGACAGUAUCUUUCGAUGUCUGUGUUUUGGGCAAGUUUCCCCUUGUGCGCGAUGUAUGCAAGUGCUUAAUUUUAAUAUACUAAUUCGCUUUUCUCAUAAUGCUAGCUUCACAAAUAUGUGUAUCAUUAUAAUGGCUUAUUUCAAAAUUCAUUUUCUCAUAUCAGUGUUGGUCGAGGUAGGGGCAUCUAUUUGUAAUAACACACAUAGCAUUUUGGUAUAGCGCAUGCGCAAGCUGACGUCAGUAGCUAAUUAGAACUAGGUUAAAGUAGUAGUAUAGGUCUGGAAACUUUGUUUUCAUUCAUUGACGGUGUUUGUUCAGAAAUGCAUCACCAUUAAUGUUUAUUGAAUGAAAGCAUAGUUUCAGAAGACCUAGUAUUUUUUGCAAUUCUUUGUAAACUAUACAGGUAGAGUAGAGUUAGAUCGUAGGAUAUAGCACCGAAACACUGGAUCUGAAAUAUGAAUGUAAAGUUAUGUAUUGUAUGUAAUGCUGAAUCAGAGUAACGUUUAUAUAUUUGUACUGAAUAUUGUUAGGAGGUGUAGGAAGGGAGUUAUGUACGCCUUAUGACGGUUAGAAGAAGCCGGAAUGUAAAGCCACACGAAAUUGCUGCAAAAAACUGUCGUAGAUUUAGAAAUGAACUUUUUUAUGUAUAUUGAUAUUUGAGUGUGUUGUAGUGUACGAGAAAUGACGCGUCGGUUGUUUUGCCUGCGUGCGCGUCAGUGAGUAUUAAAGAAUUAGGGUGAGGUGUAUGAGAGUGUGCGUGCGUUGUGUGUUGAUAUUUCCGUUAGACAUAGCGUGUUCAAAAAAACGGAUGACGAAUUCAGAUAUGAUAGCCCGUAUUGUACAUAAAUGUAGGAUAAGACAGUCUUUUGUCUAAAUGAUUUUGGUCCUAUAUUAUAUACUAGUAUCGAUGCUGAAAUAGUCGUGGUUUAUUUGGAUAUGUUUAUACGUAUGCUGAAAUGUCUUAUGUAAAAAUCUGCUUCUUAAAGAAGCUUGUUUUAUUAAUCUAAAAACCGUUUUUAACUUUCUUUUUAGAAGCGGAUUUUAUUUUGCAAAACUGUUGACAAUGGUGCUGAUUUGAAAUAUUUUUAGUAGAUUUUCAUCAUUUUUUCCCGUUUCUCUACCUGCUAUUAGUGCGCGUAUCAGGCUGGAGUUGAGACAACUUCCUACGCCGCAUUACCGGUGACGUCAUCAUUUACCAUGGCAACCCUGAUAAACUUUUAGCCAAUCACAGGGACUAGUCAUUGCUGUAGAAACACAUUUUCUUUUCUUUGCACUUUCACUGUGUCUUUUGUUCAUUUUAGAAACAUUCUAGAUCUCAUUUGUAAUAUAAAUAUAUCCAUAAUAGUUUAUGUUCGCAAUUUCCACUGAAAUAUUUUUUUAAAGAAACGUUAAUUGUCGAUUAUUUAUAUUAUUUUUAUUAUUUUAUUUUGAGGUAAGUCCGUCAUUAUACCCUGCUAUUUUCAUGUAACGGGGGGGGGGGGGUUGACCACUGUCCACAUAUUUGAUUAAUGAAAAUAAGACGAUUCGUUCAAUAACAUAAUCGGUAAAUCAACAGAUCUAGGUCCGUGGAAUAGGAGGUUUAAUACCAUAACAUGAUAUGCUGCUUUGAUAUAGAAAUGCUGUUGUACCUACUUAGUUUGCUGCGAAGGGUUUAGAAUUGGAUGAUUUGAAAAAUGACUGACAUUGUAUUAGACUCUUGUUAGUAAUCAUUGAAACUGAAUGUGAUAUCGUAUGAUAGAUUAUGCUGCAUUAGUUGUUAAGAUGACAAAUUAUUGUUUUGCAUAAAUUGUACGGUAUGUUAGCUGCAGAAUGAAUGCUCGGAAAAUUUUUGUGAUAUCCAACAUUGAACAACAAAUCAGAUUAUCGUUUUCGAAAGUCAGAUUGCUUCGGGCACGAAUGUGAAUUGUCCCAUGUGAUUAGGCCAUGAGAUACCUAAGUUCCAAAUUUAACGGUAUUUACAAAAAAUUCUGAACGGGGCUUGGUGGGUGUAAUGAUCUAAGUAACAUAAAUUAAGUAUGGCUCUAACCAAAGUAUAGUUCAGUCAUACCACGAAUAAUAUGCUGCUAUGGAGACCGUUUCAGAUGUAACUUUUGGUGUAGACGGUCCCCUAUACACCACGUUAUUGCUGCAUGAAGGAAUGAUAUUUUAUAUGUUACAUCCUUCAUAAAUGUAUAAUGUCACAUAUGAGUUCCUUUCGGUUAAGUGCAGUUCCUAAACUCCAAAGUUUUUUUAAAAACAGUUGUGAUUUAAUUUAAGCCUCACAAAAGCAUGCUGCAUAAAUUACAAAUAUUUGGAUGAUAUGAAUAUCAUGGUUACCUGUCUUAGCUUUAAGGAAAACGCGUCCGAUUGCCAAAUGAAAUUAUGAAGAAAGCCAUCCUCAGAAAUUUAUUUUUUCUUGAUGGCUCUUAAAUGUUAUUGUUGGGUUGAAACUUAUGUUUCAAAGGCAAUUAUCUCGCCUAACCAGUUUUCAUCAAAAGUAGAUUAACUCUUUGUAGGGCAAGCUAUUUAUCAAACUUAUUAUUUUCCAAAAUGAUUAUGCUGAUGAUUAUGCUCCAUACACAAUGCUGCGCAUGCUCUUUAUUACAUUCUAUAUUUUUAUCGAGUCCUAUAUAAUGUAAACGAGCUUCAUUAAUAUGCUACUUUAUAUGCUUGCAUUAAUUUAAAUUUAAACUAGCUAAUAAGUAUUUAACAUGAAGGUGGAGAGAUACAAGUUCUACGUACUGCUGCAAACUGUGUCUACGCGCUGAAUACGCAAAAUGACCAGUUAUACACCACAGAUCUGCUGCAAUGUAACUUAAAGUAGUUUGCUGAGAGGCCGUUGUCAUAUCGACUUCAAGCAAAUAGAUAUUAAACGCGAUGGACAUUCGUAUACGUGUAUGGUAGCUUUAAAUCUACUAAUUGCUGCAACAAAAUAUUGUCUAAAUUGGUUGUGUCCGACACGCUAUAUAGACAAAGAUUACACCACAUCAGUGCUGCGUAAAACCGUAGAUAUAGAUAACAUGAAAAUCGUUAAAGCGGAUCGCAGACCUACUAAAAAAUUGUACAUAUUCGUUCCUGAUCAUGAACAAUUAAUAUUGUUUGUUUUCCGGUUUGUAAACCGAGAUUCUUCAUUUUGAUAGGGCUGAAAUUUGAGGAAAAAGCACCGUUUCACCCAUAAGGCGAAAUCCUCCCUUUCUCCAGCGAAUGUAUGCAUGCACUCUUUGUAUUUUAUAACUUUUAUUGCCAUAUUUCACCUAGUACCAUUAUGUUGAAGUUGUCAUCUUUUAGAUAAUGCCUAUAUAUAUUUUGUGCCAUUGUAAAGUCCAAUUUGAUAAUGUAUAUAAUGUUGUUUGCAUAUAAUACACUCAUAUAUUUGUGUGACUUGUGAACAAAUGUGAACGUCAAAAGUGACUUUACUGUACAAAAUGGAAUUCACUAUCCUAUCUAAUUCAGUUGUACUGAAACGAACUUGAAAACAAAUUAUUUCGUGUUAUGAACAAUGAACAUACAUUCUGCAAAUAUUCUUCCGAAAGUGUGGAUUUUCUACAAAUCUUUCUUCUUAAAUGUUACGAUUAUUUCCCGAGUAUUGAAAUACUAAGUAUUUCAAUACCUCAUCUCGUAAGUGUCAAAUCUGCAAAUGAUUUAUCCAUUGUCUUAGGGAUAAUCUUGCAUUUUAUUCGUAAAUGUGGGGUUGUUGUUUUUUCUCAGAAAUUGACAAUUCUAUAAUACGUAGGAAAUAAUGAACGAGGAUGGGAUUUAAGUGUGGGUGUGUAUGCGUAAGCUCGUCCCCGUUGUUGUGUUUUUAUACAUAUAUCAUCCAGGGUACUUUUAUAUUACCCCCCCCCCCCCCCACAGAAAAAAAAACCGUCUCCAAAUUGGCUAAUACACAUGUUUCUCUCAAAUGAAAAUUGCAUUUAGAUGUGUGACUCACUAUUAUUAUUAUGUAUACAUUAGCUUUGGUAUGCAACAAUUAUUAUUGUAUUCAGGGUAAUUUUCUAAGCCAACUAAAAGUAUAUGUUUCUUAAUGUGAACUAUCAUCAUGUAAGUGCUGUAGAAACGUGAGAAAAAAUCGUCUUUUUAAGACAAAUAUUGUUGAUAAAAGGAAAAUGUGAAAUGUGCCAUUGAAAGUGAACGUAGAAUUAGCGUUAUCACACUUUUUUUGUUUCAUGCUGGUGUUCUAUAUCCUUUAUCUCUUUAUAAUUUUUGUUAUAGUUGAUGUAAUAGAAAAACUACCAAUUAGCAUGUGUCGUGAUGUCUGAUACAAUUUUCCCCAUCACUUGAGGUUUUGCGUCCACGAUUUGGGGGUUUCUCAGGAUGUUUAAAUUGAGAGAAGAUUAUUUUUGGUUUUUAUCUCUUUUUGUAUAUCUUAUUUUAGAAUUAAUAUUCAUCUUGUAGAUUGGCGAUAUAGGAAUAGGUAUAGUUGUGAUAUAGUCAUGGUAGUGAUAGUGUAUGUUUAGUGUAUAUUUAGUUUAGUGUAUUAUUUACAUUUUGUUUUAUUCUCGUGUGAAAUAAUGGUACAAGUUUCAAAUUUUAUACGAAAUUUGCAUCUUCGUAUUAUGAUUAUUCACAAACUGCUCCGUCGAUAUAUCUGUAAUUUUCUUUCAGAAAUGUAUUUCAUUUUCGGGUGAUGCAUAUUGGGAAUGCUGGGCAUUUUCUCAUGGUAUUAUUGUAUAAUUUGUCUAUGCUGUUACCAUGGUUACUGUAUAAAAAAAAACUGCGGAUAUCCCAAAAUUUAAGCCUAUUGGUAUUUGAGUAGGAAAUAGUCGCCAAGGCUGUGGUUGCAAGUCUGUCUUGAACUGAACUUCUGGCCAAAUGCAAAAUUGUUUUUUUACAAAUCCGUAUAACGAUUUAUCACGAUUUGUUAUUGUAUAUAAAAUUGAGCUCUUGUCACAAUAUUGCCGUGAUGAGAAUUCUGCGUGUCCGAGCACUUGAUUUGCUCAUUGCUCUCAGAAUUAAUGAAUUACAUUGAUUUUAUGAAUAUUGGUGUUUAUACAAUUAUCCCCCUUUCAUAAAGUAACAAUGUUGAAAAUGCCAAAUUGGAAAGGGGAAACUUUUAUUGCACCGACUGUAAUUAGCAUCUGUAAAUUCUUUAUUUUGAUGUAAAUAAAAUGAUUUGAAAGCUUAA